RNAcentral lists this ribosomal RNA (515 nucleotides) under uncultured bacterium. RNAcentral's name for it is "bacterial SSU rRNA". It matches the Rfam family "Bacterial small subunit ribosomal RNA", at positions 385 to 918 of the family's 1533-position model. The record is from RNAcentral.
GAUCUAGCCAUGCCGCGUGAGUGAUGAAGGCCUUAGGGUCGUAAAGCUCUUUCGCCUGUGAUGAUAAUGACAGUAGCAGGUAAAGAAACCCCGGCUAACUCCGUGCCAGCAGCCGCGGUAAUACGGAGGGGGUUAGCGUUGUUCGGAAUUACUGGGCGUAAAGCGCGCGUAGGCGGAUUAGAAAGUUGGGGGUGAAAUCCCGGGGCUCAACCUCGGAACUGCCUCCAAAACUGCUAGUCUAGAGUUCGAGAGAGGUGAGUGGAAUUCCGAGUGUAGAGGUGAAAUUCGUAGAUAUUCGGAGGAACACCAGUGGCGAAGGCGGCUCACUGGCUCGAUACUGACGCUGAGGUGCGAAAGUGUGGGGAGCAAACAGGAUUAGAUACCCUGGUAGUCCACACCGUAAACGAUGAAUGCCAGUCGUCGGGUAGUAUACUAUUCGGUGACACACCUAACGGAUUAAGCAUUCCGCCUGGGGAGUACGGUCGCAAGAUUAAAACUCAAAGGAAUUGACGGGG